Molecule: signal recognition particle RNA, 99 nt
Filed under: Betaproteobacteria bacterium
Lineage: Bacteria; Pseudomonadati; Pseudomonadota; Betaproteobacteria
Also listed under: 1 other name
Description: signal recognition particle sRNA small type
Rfam family: Bacterial small signal recognition particle RNA
About the family: The signal recognition particle (SRP) is a universally conserved ribonucleoprotein involved in the co-translational targeting of proteins to membranes.
Source: RNAcentral
GGCGGGUCUCCCCGCAUUGUGGCGCGGUGAAUCUGGUCAGGUCCGGAAGGAAGCAGCCACAGCCGAUGUCCGCAAGUGCCGGGGGCCAGGCUCGCCACC